GAUGAAGAACGUAGCGAAAUGCGAUAAGUAAUGUGAAUUGCUGAAUUCAGUGAAUCAUCGAAUCUUUGAACGCACAUUGCGCCCCCUGGUAUUCCGGGGGGCAUGCCUGUCCGAGCGUCAUUACAACCCUCAAGCUCAGCUUGGUGUUGGGCCCCGCCGCCCCGGCGGGCCCUAAAGUCAGUGGCGGUGCCGUCCGGCUCCGAGCGUAGUAAUUCUUCUCGCUCUGGAGGUCCGGUCGUGUGCUCGCCAGCAACCCCCAAUUUUUUUCAGGUUGACCUCGGAUCAGGUAGGGAUACCCGCUGAACUUAAGCAUAUCAAUAAGCGGAGGA
RNAcentral lists this unclassified non-coding RNA (329 nucleotides) under soil metagenome. RNAcentral's name for it is "partial contains 5.8S ribosomal RNA, internal transcribed spacer 2, and large subunit ribosomal RNA". The stretch from base 1 to 120 matches the Rfam family "5.8S ribosomal RNA", at positions 35 to 154 of the family's 154-position model. The record is from RNAcentral.